Molecule: ribosomal RNA, 459 nt
Filed under: uncultured bacterium
Lineage: Bacteria
Description: partial 16S ribosomal RNA
Rfam family: Bacterial small subunit ribosomal RNA
Source: RNAcentral
CCUACGGGCGGCAGCAGUGAGGAAUAUUGGUCAAUGGCCGGAAGGCUGAACCAGCCAAGCCGCGUGAAGGACGACGGUGCCAAGCAUUGUAAACUUCUUUUGUCAAGGGACAAAAUCAGGCACGAGAGCCUGACUGAGGGUACUUGAAGAAAAAGCAUGGGCUAACUCCGUGCCAGCAGCCGCGGUAAUACGGAGGAUGCGAGCGUUAUCCGGAUUUAUUGGGGUUAAAGGGUGCGUAGGCGGACUGUUAAGUCAGCGGUAAAAGUUCGGGGCUCAACCCCGGUGAGCCGUUGAAACUGGCUGUCUUGAGUGGGCGAGAGGUAUGCGGAAUGCGCGGUGUAGCGGUGAAAUGCAUAGAUAUUGCGCAGAACUCCGAUUGCGAAGGCAGCAUACCGGCGGCGAACUGACGCUGAGGCACGAAAGCGUGGGUAUCGAACAGGAUUAGAUACCCUAGUAGUC